RNAcentral lists this ribosomal RNA (456 nucleotides) under Guignardia sp. HBL14. RNAcentral describes it as "eukaryotic LSU rRNA". The stretch from base 89 to 242 matches the Rfam family "5.8S ribosomal RNA". Lineage: Eukaryota; Fungi; Ascomycota; Dothideomycetes; Botryosphaeriales; Phyllostictaceae. The record is from RNAcentral.
UGGCCAGGACGCCCGGCUAAGUGCCCGCCAGUAUACAAAACUCAAGAAUUCAUUUUGUGAAGUCCUGAUAUAUCAUUUAAUUGAUUAAAACUUUCAACAACGGAUCUCUUGGUUCUGGCAUCGAUGAAGAACGCAGCGAAAUGCGAUAAGUAAUGUGAAUUGCAGAAUUCAGUGAAUCAUCGAAUCUUUGAACGCACAUUGCGCCCUCUGGUAUUCCGGAGGGCAUGCCUGUUCGAGCGUCAUUUCAACCCUCAAGCUCUGCUUGGUAUUGGGCAACGUCCGCUGCCGGACGUGCCUUGAAGACCUCGGCGACGGCGUCCUAGCCUCGAGCGUAGUAGUAAAAUAUCUCGCUUUGGAGUGCUGGGCGACGGCCGCCGGACAAUCGACCUUCGGUCUAUUUUUCCAAGGUUGACCUCGGAUCAGGUAGGGAUACCCGCUGAACUUAAGCAUAUCAAU